This 111-nucleotide small RNA is filed under the name Marmota monax (woodchuck). The record is from RNAcentral. Lineage: Eukaryota; Metazoa; Chordata; Mammalia; Rodentia; Sciuridae.
GCUGGGUGUAAUAGUGAACACCUGUAAUCCCAGCUACCCAGGAGGCUGAGACAGGAGGACCACAAGUUUAAUUCAAGUCAGCCUCAGCAAUUUGGUGAGACUCUGUCUCAA